GAUGAACGCUGACAGAAUGCUUAACACAUGCAAGUCAACUUGAACUUCGGUUUGGGUGGCGGACGGGUGAGUAACGCGUAAAGAACUUGCCUCACAGAUAGGGACAACAUUUGGAAACGAAUGCUAAUACCUGAUAUUAUGAUUUUAGGGCAUCCUAGGAUUAUGAAAGCUAUAUGCACUGUGAGAGAGCUUUACGUCCCAUUAGCUAGUUGGAGAGGUAACGGCUCACCAAGGCGAUGAUGGGUAGCCGGCCUGAGAGGGUGAUCGGCCACAAGGGGACUGAGACACGGCCCCUACUCCUACGGGAGGCAGCAGUGGGGAGUAUUGGACAAUGGACCAAGAGUCUGAUCCAGCAAUUCUGUGUGCACGAUGAAGUUUUUCGGAAUGUAAAGUGCUUUCAGUUGGGAAGAAAAAAAUGACGGUACCAACAGAAGAAGUGACGGCUAACUACGUGCCAGCAGCCGCGGUAAUACGUAGGGCGCGAGCGUUGUCCGGAAUUAUUGGGCGUAAAGGGCUCGUAGGCGGCUUGUCGCGUCUGCUGUGAAAACGCGGGGCUCAACUCCGCGCGUGCAGUGGGUACGGGCAGGCUGGAGUGCGGCAGGGGUGGCUGGAAUUCCUGGUGUAGCGGUGGAAUGCGCAGAUAUCAGGAAGAACACCGAUGGCGAAGGCAGGCCACUGGGCCGUCACUGACGCUGAGGAGCGAAAGCGUGGGGAGCGAACAGG
This 723-nucleotide ribosomal RNA is filed under the name Prevotella pallens. Its description in RNAcentral is "bacterial SSU rRNA". It matches the Rfam family "Bacterial small subunit ribosomal RNA", at positions 28 to 776 of the family's 1533-position model. Lineage: Bacteria; Pseudomonadati; Bacteroidota; Bacteroidia; Bacteroidales; Prevotellaceae. The record is from RNAcentral.